GCCUCUGUAGCUCAGUAGGUUAGGGCGCUGCACCGGAAUCGCAGGGCCGUAGGUUCAAUUCCUACCAGAGGAC
Molecule: non-coding RNA, 73 nt
Organism: Paramuricea clavata
Lineage: Eukaryota; Metazoa; Cnidaria; Anthozoa; Malacalcyonacea; Plexauridae
Source: the annotation of a GenBank genome assembly